Molecule: RNA transcript, 3192 nt
Organism: Populus nigra (black poplar)
Lineage: Eukaryota; Viridiplantae; Streptophyta; Magnoliopsida; Malpighiales; Salicaceae
Exons: 2
Source: RefSeq, a predicted model, not a curated record
AAUUUUAGAUGACAUUUAUAUGAAAGUUAUCCAAAAAUAGCCUUGAACUUGGAAAAGAAAAAAGAAAAAGAAAGAAAAUCUUCAGGAAACGUAGAAGUCACCGCUUAGGAAAAACACGGAUCAGGACGCAAAUCAGAAGGAAAAGGGUUAUGGGCUGAAGAUGGACAGAUACAGACAGACUGACCUGAACCUGAAAAUCAGCUGGGCUUUCAUUUCACAUUUGAACGAACGAAGGCAAUGAGCUUGUGUUCUUCUGCUACUCCCCUACGGAAACUGAAAGUAUCCAAAUCCGCCAACCACCUGCUUUCCCGCGCUUUAACAAGCCACAACCACCAUGAGGAACACAGUAACAGCCGCACCUUCAACAGCAACCAGAACGCAUCAAGUCCAGCUGAUUCUGAUCUCAUUGCUGAAUUCACGCAACAUGGCUCUCUAUCUAAUCCUUACUUUCUCAACAAAAUCAUGUCCUUUUGUGCUAAAUCGGGUUCUUUCCAUUUGGGCAUUCAAGCCCACUCAACCAUUCUCAAAUUGGGUUUUAUUUCAAACGUGUAUAUUUGUAGUGCUGUUGUUGAUAUGUAUGCAAAAUGCGGCGAAAUUUCAAGUGCACGAGUAUUGUUUGAUCAAAUGCCUCAAAGAACUGUUGUUACGUGGAAUUCGUUGAUUUCCGGGUAUUUGGCUGUCAAUUGUCCGAAAAUAGCUAUUGAAUUGUUUAUCAAGAUGUUAAAAGCUGCUAUAAAUGUGUCAGCGUUUAGUGUUUCGAGUUGUCUGGCAGGUUGCUCGCAAUUAGAGGCCAGAGAAGUCGGGACUCAGGUUCAUGGGCUAAUUUUGAAAACUGGAUUGGGUUAUAAUGUUGUUGUGGGAACGAGCUUGGUUGAUAUGUACUCAAAGUGUGGCGAUGUUGAUGAUUCCAGGCUGGUUUUUGAUCAUAUGGUGAAUAGGAAUGUAAUUACUUGGACAUCUAUGGUUACUGGGUAUUCACAGAUUGAAAAACCUGAUGAAGCAAUGGCUUUGGUUAAAGAAAUGGCGCGUCAGGAUCUCAGGCCAAAUUGUGUAACCUAUAACAGCUUGCUAAGUUCAUUUUCUGGUCCUGAUUGUUUAAGUUAUUGCUUGCAAGUUCAUUGUUGUAUAAUUCAAUUAGGUUUAGAGUCUAAUGUGUAUAUAGCAGCUACACUGGUCACCGUGUAUUCAAAGUGUAGUAGUAGUUUAGAGGACUUCAAGAAGGUGUGCUCAGUUGUUAUGACAUGUGACAAUAUAGCUUGGAAUGCAGUCAUUGCUGGUUACUCUAAAUUAGGGCAUCACGAGGAAGCUCUCAGAUGUUUCCAUGAAAUGAAGCAGGCUGGUAUUGAUAUAGACUCUUACACGUUAACAAGCGUGGUAGGAGCAAUUGGGAAUAGUUCAUUUCUUGAAGAGGGAAAGGCAAUGCAUGCUCUCAUUCACAGAACUGGCUAUAUUUCACACUUGAAUGUUCAAAACGGGCUUGUUUCCAUGUAUGCGAGAUGUGGAGUCAUCGGUGAUUCGAAGAGGGUCUUUUGGUUCAUGGAGGAACAUGAUGUGAUCUCAUGGAAUGCACUUCUAACAGCAUUUGCUCAUCAUGGAUAUGGCAGAGAGGCUGUGGAAUUGUUUGAACAAAUGAGAAAAACUGAAAUCAAGCCGAAUAGUUCUACCUUCCUUGCUGUGUUGUGUGCUUGUAGCCAUGUUGGUUUUGUGGAUAAGGGAAUUGAGUAUUUUGACACGAUGAAAAGUGAUAUUUUGCUAGAACCCCUUAAAGUAGAGCAUUAUGCCAGUCUUGUAGAUACUUUUGGUCGAGCUGGGUAUCUUAAUGAGGCGGAAGCCUUCAUUAAUAGCAUGCCUAUAGUACCAGCGCCCUCAGUCUAUAAAGCUCUUCUUAGUGCUAGUCUGGUUCAUGGAAAUAGAGAGAUUGCUGCACGUUCUGCAAAAAAGCUUCUAGAGCUCUGGCCUAAUGAUCCAGCGACAUAUGUACUGCUAUCCAGUGUAUUGACUGUGGAGGGUAAUUGGGACGAUGCAGCAGAUUUACGGAAACUGAUGUGUGAUAGAGGGCUAAGAAAGAAGCCUGGUUAUAGUUGGACUUGAGAGAACGGAUGCCUGGUUUUUUUCUUGCAAUAUCCAGCCCAGUGUCAUUGCAGCAGAAUAGUAGCUGCUUUUGAAGUCAUUGUCAGGCAGUGGCUGACAGAACUUUUUACCUGAUUUGCUUUUAGCAUACAGGAGUGAUCAGCUAUUUGGGUGAGAAAAAAUGUUCUCAAAUCAACUGUCAGAAAGGAUGAGUCAAGGUUACAGAUUUCAAGUCUCUAUUCUUUUGAUCCAGCCAUACAGGAGUGCGGAUGGGUGAUUGUGCAUGAUGAACUAUGGGAAUGGGAGGAAGAAAUAACAUGAUGCACUGCCGGUGAACCAAACUGCUAGCCACUAGUUUGUUGUGCUCUAAGAUUUGCCCUCCAUCAGAAUAGAAGCAGAACCAUGAAAUGCAGUGUGUCCCAUGAAUUACUAAAAUAGCCAAGGCGGGCGCUGCACCUUUUGGCAGGGUGCGAGCCAUCCCCAACACCCCCCGCGCUCCUCUAUUAUUUUUCAAAAGUUAUUUUGACCCCAUAUGUCUAAGGUUUAUAUCAAUUACCCCCUCCAAAAGUUUGCUUAUUUUAGUUGUCACCUUCAUCCUUGUAUUUUUCUCACGUUUCCCCCUCAUUUAUUUUACUCCAUCCCUGCCACUGAAGACAGUCAUCGAUUGUUCAACACCAGUCAUGAGGUCCAAAUAGUCAAAGCAUCAUGGAGGUAAAAAAAUUAUAUGGGAACAUCCAGAGAUUCUCGAGAAGGGAGAAAAGGAAAGAAAAAUCUUAUAGAUGAAUUACUAACUUAUUCCCUAAAAGUUUAGAUUGUAAUGAGAUUCCAUCAUUUUUUUUGUUCAUUAUCUUUCUGCUUUUCCUCCCUCUUUCACUCUCGUUUUGGUUUGGCUGUCCCCCUCAAUCUUUAGCUUUUGGUACAAGGAAGUUUCAUGAGGGUCAUACAUUUUCAUGUGAUGUAAACUUUUUUUUUCUUCGUUUGUUGGUAAUUACAUUUUUUCUUGGACAAAAAAUAAGAUGGAAAGUCACAAUGUAGUUCCACCAGACCCCGAGCGAUCUGGGAUUAAAGUUGAAUUGAGUUAAAUAGAAACAGCUAAAGGUUUGAGAAGAAUCUACAUAAAAA